AAAUAUAGUAUGGUUAUGCAAAAGCCCGCCGGCGGGUUAACUUCUAUUGCUGAAUUAAACGAGGCUCUAUCUCUCCCUCUCUCCGAACUCCAUCGCCAUCGUUCUUCAAUCCUGCAUCCGGUCGUCCAGUGGUUCUUCCGCACGCUCUAAGCUCCAGAUUGAUCCAGUUCGAGGAAUGGCGAAAGGUAUCAUAUGGGCAACAGCAGAGGAUUUAGCGAGGAACAGAGGGCGUGUUAUAUCUCUUUAUCGCCAGAUAUUGCGGAGCCUCAACUCCCCAAAUUUGCCUCUCAGCUUCGCAGCUAGAUUAGCAAAGAAGGCAGAGGUUCGUGGCAUUUUCUUGCUUGCUUCUGAAGAGCGAUCUCUUCACAAUAUUGAAGACCUCAUUGACACUGCUGAGUACUCACUCUCUCUAUUAAGGAAGGGAGAAAUUCCCAAAUACAUUCAAUGAGUAACACUUGAUUCUCUUAUGGCAAUUUUAUGUUAGAUGCCUCUUCACCUGCAUCAGUGAGUGAUACUUGUGCUUGCCCUUGCCCUAAAUUUCUUAUAGUUAACAUUUGGGUUCUGCUAUAAUGUUUUGUAUUGAAUGCUAUGCAAAGGAAAUUCAUCCACUUGAUGUUAACCUAUGCAAACAUUAAGGUUUAGAUUCUAUUUUGAUCCUUGGAGUUGUGUCUCUAUAUAUAUGUUGGCCCUUUCAAAUGUUCUUUUAAGUAUUUGGUUAAAAAAGUUUAAAACCCAUGCAAACCAAAUUAUUUUAGUUGAAAACCAUUAAACCACUCUCAGUGUUGUUAUGGGGAUUUUGUUUUCCUAUAUUUGGAACUCUGUGGCUCUGAAAUUUUAUGGGAAGUAUUGCAUUUUAAUUAUGCUAGUAGAAGAGUUUUUUUUCCAUUAUCAUGGUGGAUAGGGGCGUGGGAACAGCAGCAAACUUACAGAAGAGGGGCUGGGCUGCUCACAUUAAUGGCAAAAGCAACAGCAAACUCAGUGGUUUUCCACUCAAAAUAGGUAUAAAAGAAUUACUGUGAUAUGUGUACGUAUUCUACCACGAGGAAUCCGGGUACGUUGGGCUAUUCGAGCAAGUUUUUUAGUUAAAAGAAUUAUUCGCUUUCUAGAUGGAUGAUACAAUUGUAGACAUGUUCUUUUGACCCAUUCAGUCUGAUUGGGACAUGAAUUUGAGACUUGGUCGAGAAUCUCUCUGUUAAGGCUGAA
Molecule: RNA transcript, 1203 nt
Organism: Cucurbita moschata (crookneck pumpkin)
Lineage: Eukaryota; Viridiplantae; Streptophyta; Magnoliopsida; Cucurbitales; Cucurbitaceae
Exons: 3
Source: RefSeq, a predicted model, not a curated record